This 529-nucleotide long non-coding RNA is filed under the name Olea europaea subsp. europaea. Lineage: Eukaryota; Viridiplantae; Streptophyta; Magnoliopsida; Lamiales; Oleaceae. The record is from RNAcentral.
UGAAUAUUUAACAAAAUAAUAUAUAAAUAAUUAAUGACAAAUAAUUUAAAUUUUUAUAUUUUAUCUAGAAGAAAAACUUUAUAUUUUAAAAAAUAUUUUAUAAUUAUUAAGCAUUAACCUACCGGUCUAACCACUAACUCACCGGUUCGACUAGUAACCCGAUAUCCGAUGCCUUGAUCGAGUAAAGUUUAAUAGCUAUGGUUAAAACGAUAGGUUUAACUUUCCAAACUUGGCUUCAUCUUUGCCUAUCGAACUAUCCCGAUCUUCACCUUACUGCAGGACAUUACAAUGGUGGAUGCUAUUGGGACUACGGUAAAUGAGUUCAUCGACAAAGAUUUGAUCCUAUUUGACUGUGGAGAAGAAGGCUACGCAUGUUUAUAGAUGGUGACAUUUCAACAAUUAGCAGGUAGGAGGUGUAAAUAUAUGGGAAGAGUUCAUAAAUCAAAAUUUUAACUAUGCAUAAUUCAAAAUUUAGAUUACAAGUUUCAUAAAUGCAAAAAUCAGGUUUUAACUAAUUAAUUAAAAAUAU